UUUGAACCUCAGAAAACAGUGAUCGAACAACAGCGCUUCGAACAAGAUCAACAUGGCAUCCUUCUUGAAACUGAGCGUGCUUGCCAUGGUGGUGAUGAUGCUGGUGACCGGCACCGUCGCUGAACCCGAACCCGAGCCUUUCCCUGUGCCGGGUGAUCACAAGCACUGGAAGGGAAAGGGUAAAGGAAAGGGAAAAGGAGGAAAGGGGAAGGGUAAAGGUAAAGGCAAGGGGAAGGGCCAUAAGAAGUGGUAAAAACUGCAUGCAUCGUAGCAACUCACUCCUAGUGUUUUGUAACUGACAAUAAAGAUGAAUCAGUUAA
This 320-nucleotide long non-coding RNA is filed under the name Hyalella azteca. Its description in RNAcentral is "uncharacterized LOC108670525". Lineage: Eukaryota; Metazoa; Arthropoda; Malacostraca; Amphipoda; Hyalellidae. The record is from RNAcentral.